This 213-nucleotide ribosomal RNA is filed under the name uncultured bacterium. Its description in RNAcentral is "partial 16S ribosomal RNA". It matches the Rfam family "Bacterial small subunit ribosomal RNA", at positions 326 to 539 of the family's 1533-position model. The record is from RNAcentral.
ACGCUCGACACCUAGGCAGCAGUGAGGAAUAUUGGUCAAUGGACGCAAGUCUGAACCAGCCAUGCCGCGUGCAGGAUGACGGCUCUAUGAGUUGUAAACUGCUUUUGUACGAGGGUAAACGCAGAUACGUGUAUCUGUCUGAAAGUAUCGUACGAAUAAGGAUCGGCUAACUCCGUGCCUGCAGCCGCGGUAAUCUGAGCGGGCUGGCAAGGC